UGUAUCAAAAAAUCCCUUAUUAUUGCUCUACAAAACAUGUUUUGUUGAUGUGUGAUUUUCUUCUUUCUUUUCAGAUGUCCCAGUAAUAUAAAUUGGGCUUACACUGACAGUUGGACUUAAUUCUAUCAAACCUGUUCUGGAUUCCUUCUACCAGAUUCCUCAGGGUUCAGAAACUGGCAGGACAGUUAGAUUUUCUCUGUGCCACUGAUGUCAUAACUUGGCUCUGGAGGAACAACUUGCUCUUGGACAAGCCCAGAUCACUGGGGCAUAACAUCCAUAGGACUCGCAGGAAUUCAGCACCGUCUGCUCCAAGAGAAAGGAUGGAUCUGAGAAGAACAUGUUGGAUAACACGGCUCGUCUCAGGAUUGUGCCACUGUAACUGGCAGAUAAAUAGAUUUCCUUUUCACCCCUUUUGAAGUGCUGGUCUGUAAGAGCACCUGGUGGGCAACAGGAUUCCAGCUAAGCUGUUAAUACACUGAAUAGUGCAGGAGUCUGAACGUAGCGAGCUGUGAGCUGAAACACAGCAUAUAUAUAAUUUGUUAUAGAAUUUGGCACUCCCACUUCUUGGACAGAUUCUUCCUCCCUGCACUGGUAGCCCUGGGUGAACAGGAAAACACAGGAUGUGGCUGUGAACCUCGGUGCUUAUAAGAGUGUAUUUUGGAGUGUUUCCUCGCUGCAUUUACUGCCAGGACCUUCAGAGACCAGUCUCAGCUGGGACCCACACCUUUGCCCAAGUACCCUGUUUCAGCCCAGCUGGUCAACACUUUGCACUGUGGAAUUGUAUUACUGGAACUGAAAAAAUCACUUCACUGUGUCGUGGUUUGAACCUUGUUUUCCCCCAGAGGCUAAGAAAAGUGGUAGACCCCAAGGGGUGGAAACCCCUGGAAGUUUUGAAGUUCUGUCCAAUGGGCGCUCCUGCAAAAAUGUCAACAUUCCACAAGCUCACCGGAAAAGAAGAGUUGUAGUUUGGUUGUUGAGGAGAGGUGGCCAUGUUGUGAG
Molecule: long non-coding RNA, 999 nt
Filed under: Manacus vitellinus (golden-collared manakin)
Lineage: Eukaryota; Metazoa; Chordata; Aves; Passeriformes; Pipridae
Description: lncRNA (ENSMVIG00005017125.1)
Source: RNAcentral